AAGGAUCCAAACGGAAAGAAAAAUCGAUAAAGAAUUAAGAAUUUUGGUUUAGUGUGUUUAUCCGCUAAUUUGUUUAUUUCAGUGGGUUUAGUUUUUGUAUUUUUUUGUUUCUAACAAAUAAAUGUUGCUACUACUGUGAACCCAAGAAAAGUUAGAGGUUUGUAAUCUCAUUCCUAUAAUUCCCAUUACUGAAUAUGUUAUCUACCUAUAAAAGUUUAAUGAAGUUAUGUAACAUAUUAUCACAUACAAUAAUAUAAACCACUUAUGCAGAUUUAUUAUGUCUCUCCUCCACGUUUCCAAUGAGAUUUUUCGACAACGAUGUUAAUCAACUACUGAAUACAAUACUUAACAUAGUAUGUAGGGGCAUUCAUAGACUUAUAUAUGUUCACUAUUUUAGUCAGCAAAAUCUGAGUGCUUACAUUGAAAAUAGUACUACUCUCUAAUGUAACUAAAAGUAAAUUUUUUCUUUUUGUAGGGUGCUGAUAAUGGCUGAAAGAACCCAUCCUUUUUUUUUUUUAAUUUUAAAAUGCAAACCGGAUUAACCCAUUUAAAGCAAACCAGACAAUCUCACUAACACAAACCAAUUAACGUAAUCAGUGGAAGACUUAAUAAAAAAAAAUCCAAUUAAACAAUUCCAUUAAACCAACAUGUUCAACCAACG
RNAcentral lists this long non-coding RNA (661 nucleotides) under Capsella rubella. RNAcentral's name for it is "long non-coding RNA (CRUB_LNC002621)". Lineage: Eukaryota; Viridiplantae; Streptophyta; Magnoliopsida; Brassicales; Brassicaceae. The record is from RNAcentral.